This 490-nucleotide ribosomal RNA is filed under the name uncultured bacterium. RNAcentral describes it as "partial 16S ribosomal RNA". It matches the Rfam family "Bacterial small subunit ribosomal RNA", at positions 30 to 507 of the family's 1533-position model. The record is from RNAcentral.
AUUGAACGCUGGCGGCAGGCUUAACACAUGCAAGUCGAGCGGUAGCACAGGGGAGCUUGCUCCCUGGGUGACGAGCGGCGGACGGGUGAGUAAUGUCUGGGAAACUGCCUGAUGGAGGGGGAUAACUACUGGAAACGGUAGCUAAUACCGCAUAACGUCGCAAGACCAAAGAGGGGGACCUUCGGGCCUCUUGCCAUCAGAUGUGCCCAGAUGGGAUUAGCUAGUAGGUGGGGUAAUGGCUCACCUAGGCGACGAUCCCUAGCUGGUCUGAGAGGAUGACCAGCCACACUGGAACUGAGACACGGUCCAGACUCCUACGGGAGGCAGCAGUGGGGAAUAUUGCACAAUGGGCGCAAGCCUGAUGCAGCCAUGCCGCGUGUGUGAAGAAGGCCUUCGGGUUGUAAAGCACCUUCAGCGAGGAGGAAGGUGGUGAGCUUAAUACGUUCAUCAAUUGACGUUACUCGCAGAAGAAGCACCGGCUAACUCCGUG